AAGGGCAGGUAAGGUAACAGAGAAGGGCAGGUAAGGUAACACAGAAGGGCAGGUAAGGUAACACAGAAGGGCAGGUAAGGUAACACAGAAGGGCAGGUAAGGUAACAGAGAAGGGCAGGUAAGGUAACACAGAAGGGCAGGUAAGGUAACACAGAAGGGCAGGUAAGGUAACACAGAAGGGCAGGUAAGGUAACACAGAAGGGCAGGUAAGGUAACACAGAAGGGCAGGUAAGGUAACACA
Molecule: non-coding RNA, 241 nt
Organism: Procambarus clarkii (red swamp crayfish)
Lineage: Eukaryota; Metazoa; Arthropoda; Malacostraca; Decapoda; Cambaridae
Source: RefSeq, a predicted model, not a curated record